RNAcentral lists this ribosomal RNA (293 nucleotides) under uncultured bacterium. RNAcentral describes it as "partial 16S ribosomal RNA". It matches the Rfam family "Bacterial small subunit ribosomal RNA", at positions 775 to 1067 of the family's 1533-position model. The record is from RNAcentral.
GGAUUAGAUACCCUGGUAGUCCACGCCGUAAACGAUGUCUACUAGCCGUUGGGGAACUUGAUUCCUUAGUGGCGCAGCUAACGCACUAAGUAGACCGCCUGGGGAGUACGGCCGCAAGGUUAAAACUCAAAUGAAUUGACGGGGGCCCGCACAAGCGGUGGAGCAUGUGGUUUAAUUCGAUGCAACGCGAAGAACCUUACCAGGUCUUGACAUCCCGAGAAGUUACCAGAGAUGGUUUCGUGCCUUCGGGAGCUCGGUGACAGGUGCUGCAUGGCUGUCGUCAGCUCGUGUUG